CAAACGUAUGUUCAGCACUAAUCAGAUGUAUCUUGAUGUAUAAUAGUUUAUAAGUCAGUUCUGGCAGAAUACUUGUACCCAACACGUCUUACAAAGUCCACAGUAGUAUAUUGUCCGUUUGCAAGUUUUGAAUUUUGCUCUAAAAGGAAGUCCAUCUUUUCCUUUUCGUAUUUGCGAACAGGUGCUUUGACAGUAAGAGUUCUCAUCUUAAUGUAAGAUGUUGUUUGCAGUUUUAGUAAAACGUCGACAAAAACAAAAAUGUUAGGAUGGCUAGCAUAAAACUGUUCGUUCAGGUGUGCAUGAAAAGACUCAGCACCAUUUGUCGUUCUCUUUUCCUCGGGAUCAGGAGGUGAUGCCCAAAUGGUUGGUGGAAAUCUGGAAUUGCCAUCUAUGUAAAAUUCCAAGAUAUAAUCGGCAAACUUCAUACAUUUGUCGUCAGAUGGAGCAUCAGCUAUUAACCCAACAAAGCAUUCUUCGAUCAUGUCAGUUGACAAGUAAGCCAAGCCAAAGAAAUGAGUUAGCCAUUUACCUAAAUCCGAAUCUUUGUCUUUGUAAUCGGCACUUAGACCUAGCGACUGAAUUUUUCUCCACCAACUUUGUCCUAAAUGAAAUCUACAACAACUGAUUGUAGCAGCAGGAAAUGUUUUCGUAAUAGCAGUAUGCAUUGCACAUUCAAAGUCAAUGUGAACUACCUCGGGCUGGAGAGUUAAUCUUCGGGUAGUGCACACAUCAAUAAGCAGAUCCCACAUUUUGAUGUAACAUUCCUCGGAUUUAAGUGGAAGU
Molecule: long non-coding RNA, 783 nt
Filed under: Mytilus galloprovincialis (Mediterranean mussel)
Lineage: Eukaryota; Metazoa; Mollusca; Bivalvia; Mytilida; Mytilidae
Source: RNAcentral